RNAcentral lists this ribosomal RNA (1423 nucleotides) under uncultured organism. RNAcentral's name for it is "16S ribosomal RNA". It matches the Rfam family "Bacterial small subunit ribosomal RNA". The record is from RNAcentral.
CAGGCUUAACACAUGCAAGUCGAGGGGCAGCAUUUUAGUUUGCUUGCAAACUAAAGAUGGCGACCGGCGCACGGGUGAGUAACACGUAUCCAACCUGCCGAUAACUCGGGGAUAGCCUUUCGAAAGAAAGAUUAAUAUCCGAUAGUAUAUUAAAACCGCAUGGUUUUGCUAUUAAAGAAUUUCGGUUAUCGAUGGGGAUGCGUUCCAUUAGUUUGUUGGCGGGGUAACGGCCCACCAAGACUACGAUGGAUAGGGGUUCUGAGAGGAAGGUCCCCCACAUUGGAACUGAGACACGGUCCAAACUCCUACGGGAGGCAGCAGUGAGGAAUAUUGGUCAAUGGACGAGAGUCUGAACCAGCCAAGUAGCGUGAAGGAUGACUGCCCUAUGGGUUGUAAACUUCUUUUAUAUGGGAAUAAAGUUUUCCACGUGUGGAAUUUUGUAUGUACCAUAUGAAUAAGGAUCGGCUAACUCCGUGCCAGCAGCCGCGGUAAUACGGAGGAUCCGAGCGUUAUCCGGAUUUAUUGGGUUUAAAGGGAGCGUAGGUGGAUUGUUAAGUCAGUUGUGAAAGUUUGCGGCUCAACCGUAAAAUUGCAGUUGAAACUGGCAGUCUUGAGUACAGUAGAGGUGGGCGGAAUUCGUGGUGUAGCGGUGAAAUGCUUAGAUAUCACGAAGAACUCCGAUUGCGAAGGCAGCUCACUAGACUGCAACUGACACUGAUGCUCGAAAGUGUGGGUAUCAAACAGGAUUAGAUACCCUGGUAGUCCACACAGUAAACGAUGAAUACUCGCUGUUUGCGAUAUACAGUAAGCGGCCAAGCGAAAGCAUUAAGUAUUCCACCUGGGGAGUACGCCGGCAACGGUGAAACUCAAAGGAAUUGACGGGGGCCCGCACAAGCGGAGGAACAUGUGGUUUAAUUCGAUGAUACGCGAGGAACCUUACCCGGGCUUAAAUUGCAUUUGAAUAAUCUGGAAACAGGUUAGCCGCAAGGCAAAUGUGAAGGUGCUGCAUGGUUGUCGUCAGCUCGUGCCGUGAGGUGUCGGCUUAAGUGCCAUAACGAGCGCAACCCUUAUCUUUAGUUACUAACAGGUCAUGCUGAGGACUCUAGAGAGACUGCCGUCGUAAGAUGUGAGGAAGGUGGGGAUGACGUCAAAUCAGCACGGCCCUUACGUCCGGGGCUACACACGUGUUACAAUGGGGGGUACAGAAGGCAGCUACCUGGCGACAGGAUGCUAAUCCCAAAAACCUCUCUCAGUUCGGAUCGAAGUCUGCAACCCGACUUCGUGAAGCUGGAUUCGCUAGUAAUCGCGCAUCAGCCAUGGCGCGGUGAAUACGUUCCCGGGCCUUGUACACACCGCCCGUCAAGCCAUGAAAGCCGGGGGUACAUGAAGUACGUAACCGUAAGGAGCGUCCUAGGGUAAAACU